GACGAACGCUGGCGGCGUGCUUAAUACAUGCAAGUCGAACGGAAAGGCCCUGCUUUUGUGGGGUGCUCGAGUGGCGAACGGGUGAGUAACACGUGAGUAACCUGCCCUUGACUUUGGGAUAACUUCAGGAAACUGGGGCUAAUACCGGAUAGGAGCUCCUGCUGCAUGGUGGGGGUUGGAAAGUUUCGGCGGUUGGGGAUGGACUCGCGGCUUAUCAGCUUGUUGGUGGGGUAGUGGCUUACCAAGGCUUUGACGGGUAGCCGGCCUGAGAGGGUGACCGGCCACCAUGGGACUGCGGUAGGCACCAGACUCCAACGGGAGGCAGCAGUGGGGAAUCUUGCACAAUGGGGGGAAGCCUGAUGCAGCAACGCCGCGUGCGGGAUGCCGGCCUUCGGGUUGUAAACCGCUUUCGCCUGUGACGAAGCGUGAGUGACGGUAAUGGGUAAAGAAGCACCGGCUAACUACGUG
RNAcentral lists this ribosomal RNA (468 nucleotides) under uncultured bacterium. RNAcentral's name for it is "partial 16S ribosomal RNA". It matches the Rfam family "Bacterial small subunit ribosomal RNA", at positions 28 to 507 of the family's 1533-position model. The record is from RNAcentral.